AGGAGCACGUGUGCCCAAGGCCACGAAAGGAGUCACGUGAGAGCAGCGCUUCCAACCCACGUCGUCGUGACACCGCGCCCCGCACCCAGCCCACUGCCGUCAGUGUGUGGAUGACUCACAAAGGCCCUUGGAGGAAUGGCUGAUCUCACCGUGCAGUGACCAAAGCAUCCUGUGACUAUAUAAACAAAUACAAGGUACUGGUCUUUUACAGAUGGGGGGACCCGGGACGCCCGUAGCAGGUUAACAGUGCUGUGCAUACUUGUGGCACUCCCUAGGUCUGAACACAACGAUGUGACAGUUCUUAGAGGGUUUCUUGUGCUCAGGCCACAUCACUUCUACUCAAAUCAUCCGGAUCGUUCUACAGGGAAAGACGCUCCUUGUUCCAAAAAGGAGAGGAGACGUCUGAACGUCAUCACUCCACACGGCAUCCAAGAGGGAAGUUCCCUCGCACUCCACAGAGCACAUGUGCGUUUGGAAGCGUGCGCUCUUAUCCGUCGGAGACGGCGCGCAUCCCCUCCGCACAGCUAACCUCGGGGACGCUCCCUGCUUUGUGAACCUGCGCGUCCAGCACGAUGGCAGCGAGGCGAUGACAGAGACUCACCGAGGAAGACGUGUGCCCUUUAAGAAUACAACCCUGUCUUUGUGUUGUCAUCCCGUCUGGAUUUUUAUUAUAAUCCCAGAGAGCCGGCCAAAGGGCAUUUCAUGGUAUUUUUAUUUGUCUUUCCCUUCUAAAGCCAAAGAUUAAAAUAAUAAUUAGUAGUCACAAACCCUGUUCGGGACGCCAGGAGCUGGAGCCUGAAGACCUCGGAGGUCUGAAGCGAGUACCUUUUAACUCAGUAAUGACGAACACGCGCCCCACUGUCCGUCCCUCCUGCCCUCAGAGCCGCCGGGCUCCCGGGGCCGUGCUGGCCACGGUGUUCCUGCAGCGGUUUAAGGACCACCCUGUUCCUGGAGCUGCCUCACGCUGCUGCCUUUUGCUAACCAUCUGAGGGUUGAAUAAAGGCCGUGUUCUAGG
Long non-coding RNA from Leopardus geoffroyi (Geoffroy's cat), 1015 nucleotides. RefSeq lists it as uncharacterized. NCBI's taxonomy places the organism in Eukaryota, Metazoa, Chordata, Mammalia, Carnivora, Felidae. The record is from RefSeq and is a predicted model, not a curated record. The transcript is spliced from 2 exons.